GACAACGUGCCCGAGUGGUCUAAGGGGGUGGACUUGAAAUCCACUAGGCUCCGCCUGCACAGGUUCAAACCCUGUCGUUGUCG
Molecule: non-coding RNA, 83 nt
Organism: Blastocladiella britannica
Lineage: Eukaryota; Fungi; Blastocladiomycota; Blastocladiomycetes; Blastocladiales; Blastocladiaceae
Source: the annotation of a GenBank genome assembly